GUAGGUGGCAAGCGUUGUCCGGAAUUAUUGGGCGUAAAGCGCGCGCAGGCGGUUCGUUUAAGUCUGAUGUGAAAGCCCACGGGCUCAACCGUGGAGGGUCAUUGGAAACUGGAGAACUUGAGUACAGAAGAGGAAAGCGGAAUUCCACGUGUAGCGGUGAAAUGCGUGGAGAUGUGGAGGAACACCAGUGGCGAAGGCGGCUUUCUGGUCUGUAACUGACGCUGAGGCGCGAAAGCGUGGGGAGCAAACAGGAUUAGAUACCCUGGUAGUCCACGCCGUAAACGAUGAGUGCUAAGUGUUAGGGGGGUUUCCGCCCCUUAGUGCUGCAGCUAACGCAUUAAGCACUCCGCCUGGGGAGUACGGCCGCAAGGCUG
Molecule: ribosomal RNA, 374 nt
Filed under: uncultured organism
Description: partial 16S ribosomal RNA
Rfam family: Bacterial small subunit ribosomal RNA
Source: RNAcentral